RNAcentral lists this ribosomal RNA (421 nucleotides) under uncultured bacterium. RNAcentral's name for it is "bacterial SSU rRNA". It matches the Rfam family "Bacterial small subunit ribosomal RNA", at positions 359 to 771 of the family's 1533-position model. The record is from RNAcentral.
GAAUAUUGCGCAAUGGCCGAAAGGCUGACGCAGCGACGCCGCGUGUGGGAGGAAGCCCUUCGGGGUGUAAACCACUGUCGGGAGGGACGAAUCCCGGACGGGCAAAUAGCCCGGACGGUUGACGGUACCUCCAAAGGAAGCACCGGCUAACUCCGUGCCAGCAGCCGCGGUAAGACGGAGGGUGCAAGCGUUGUUCGGAAUUACUGGGCGUAAAGCGCGGGCAGGUGGCCUUUUAAGUCCUUUGUGAAAUUCCGGGGCUCAACUCCGGAUGUGCAUAGGAUACUGGAAGGCUAGAGACUGGUAGAGGCGAGCGGAAUUCCUGGUGUAGCGGUGGAAUGCGUAGAUAUCAGGAAGAACACCGGUGGCGAAGGCGGCUCGCUGGGCCAGUUCUGACACUCAUCCGCGAAAGCGUGGGGAGCAA